GAGUUUGAUCCUGGCUCAGGACGAACGCUGGCGGCGUGCUUAACACAUGCAAGUCGAACGGAAAGGCCCUUCGGGGUACUCGAGUGGCGAACGGGUGAGUAACACGUGGGUGAUCUGCCCUGCACUUUGGGAUAAGCCUGGGAAACUGGGUCUAAUACCGAAUACACCUCAUGGGCUGCAUGGUUUGUGGGGGAAAGCUUUUGCGGUGUGGGAUGGGCCCGCGGCCUAUCAGCUUGUUGGUGGGGUGAUGGCCUACCAAGGCGACGACGGGUAGCCGGCCUGAGAGGGUGUCCGGCCACACUGGGACUGAGAUACGGCCCAGACUCCUACGGGAGGCAGCAGUGGGGAAUAUUGCACAAUGGGCGCAAGCCUGAUGCAGCGACGCCGCGUGGGGGAUGACGGCCUUCGGGUUGUAAACCUCUUUCAGCACAGACGAAGCGCAAGUGACGGUAUGUGCAGAAGAAGCACCGGCCAGCUACGUGCCAGCAGCCGCGGUAAUACGUAGGGUGCGAGCGUUGUCCGGAAUUACUGGGCGUAAAGAGCUCGUAGGUGGUUUGUCGCGUUGUUCGUGAAAACCGGGGGCUUAACCCUCGGCGUGCGGGCGAUACGGGCAGACUGGAGUACUGCAGGGGAGACUGGAAUUCCUGGUGUAGCGGUGGAAUGCGCAGAUAUCAGGAGGAACACCGGUGGCGAAGGCGGGUCUCUGGGCAGUAACUGACGCUGAGGAGCGAAAGCGUGGGGAGCGAACAGGAUUAGAUACCCUGGUAGUCCACGCCGUAAA
RNAcentral lists this ribosomal RNA (781 nucleotides) under Mycolicibacterium sp. Its description in RNAcentral is "bacterial SSU rRNA". It matches the Rfam family "Bacterial small subunit ribosomal RNA", at positions 9 to 806 of the family's 1533-position model. The record is from RNAcentral. Lineage: Bacteria; Bacillati; Actinomycetota; Actinomycetes; Mycobacteriales; Mycobacteriaceae.